This 915-nucleotide ribosomal RNA is filed under the name uncultured crenarchaeote. Its description in RNAcentral is "bacterial SSU rRNA". It matches the Rfam family "Archaeal small subunit ribosomal RNA", at positions 1 to 921 of the family's 1478-position model. The record is from RNAcentral. Lineage: Archaea; Thermoproteati; Thermoproteota.
UNCCCGGUUGAUCCUGCCGGACCUGACUGCUAUCGGAUUGAUACUAAGCCAUGCGAGUCAUUGUAGCAAUACAAGGCAGACGGCUCAGUAACGCGUAGUCAACCUACCCUAUGGACGGGAAUAACCUCGGGAAACUGAGUAUAAUGCCCGAUAGAACAUUAUACCUGGAAUGGUUUAUGUUCCAAAUGAUUUAUCGCCGUAGGAUGGGACUGCGGCCUAUCAGUUUGUUGGUGAGGUAAUGGCCCACCAAGACUAUUACAGGUACGGGCUCUGAGAGGAGAAGCCCGGAGAUGGGUACUGAAACACGGACCCAGGCCCUAUGGGGCGCAGCAGGCGAGAAAACUUUGCAAUGUGCGAAAGCACGACAAGGUUAAUCCGAGUGAUUCCUGCUAAAGGAAUCUUUUGUUAGUCAUAAAACCACUAUUGAAUAAGGGGUGGGCAAGUUCUGGUGUCAGCCGCCGCGGUAAAACCAGCACCUCAAGUGGUCAGGAUGAUUAUUGGGCCUAAAGCAUCCGUAGCCGGCUCUGUUAGUUUUCGGUUAAAUCCAUAUGCUCAACAUAUGGGGCCGCCGGGAAUACUACAAAGCUAGGGAGUGGGAGAGGUAGACGGUACUCCGUAGGAAGGGGUAAAAUCCUUUGAUCUAUGGAUGACCACCAGUGGCGAAGGCGGUCUACCAGAACACGUUCGACGGUGAGGGAUGAAAGCUGGGGGAGCAAACCGGAUUAGAUACCCGGGUAGUCCCAGCUGUAAACUAUGCAAACUCAGUGAUGCAUUGGCUUGUGGCCAGUGCAGUGCCGCAGAGAAGUCGUUAAGUUUGCCGCCUGGGAAGUACGUACGCAAGUAUGAAACUUAAAGGAAUUGGCGGGGGAGCACCACAAGGGGUGAAGCCUGCGGUUCAAUUGGAGUCAACGCCGG